This 1446-nucleotide ribosomal RNA is filed under the name metagenome. RNAcentral's name for it is "bacterial LSU rRNA". It matches the Rfam family "Bacterial large subunit ribosomal RNA", at positions 1461 to 2925 of the family's 2925-position model. The record is from RNAcentral.
GAACUGUGGGGACACGUAAGGAAAGCGGAAGCCGGGAAUGGAAAGCCCGGUGCAGGCGGGGUACCAGUCACUUUGGCAAAUCCGGGUGGCAAUGGGAAGCCGUGAUGCGGAGCGAAAUAAAGUAGUGAAGUCCGUGAGCCAUGCGUCAAGAGAAGCCGCUAUUGUUUAUACCGUACCCGUACCGUAAACCGACACAGGUGGAUGAGGAGAGAAUCCUAAGGCCGGCGGAAGAAGCAUAGUCAAGGAACUCGGCAAAAUGGCCCCGUAACUUAGGGAUAAGGGGUGCCUGGGAAACCAGGCCGCAGAGAAUAGGCUCAAGCAACUGUUUAGCAAAAACACAGGUCUAUGCGAAACCGAAAGGUGAGGUAUAUGGGCUGACGCCUGCCCGGUGCUGGAAGGUUAAGAGGAGAGGUUAGCGGUAACGCGAAGCUUUGAAUUUAAGCCCCAGUAAACGGCGGCCGUAACAAUAACGGUCCUAAGGUAGCGAAAUUCCUUGUCGGGUAAGUUCCGACCCGCACGAAAGGCGUAAUGAUUUGAGCGCUGUCUCGACAAUGCAUCCGGUGAAAUUGAAGUACCAGUGAAGAUGCUGGUUACCUGCGCCAGGACGGAAAGACCCCAUGGAGCUUUACUCCAGUCUGGUACUGGGACUCGGUAUUGCAUGUACAGGAUAGGUGGGAGGCUAGGAGAUGGUAACGCCAGUUGCCAUGGAGCCGCUGUUGGGAUACCACCCUUGCAGUAUUGGGUUUCUAACCAUCCGCCGUGACCCGGCGGUGGGACAAUGCCAGACGGGGAGUUUGACUGGGGCGGUCGCCUCCGAAAGGGUAUCGGAGGCGCCCAAAGGUUCCCUCAGAAUGGACGGAAACCAUUCGAGGAGUGCAAAGGCAGAAGGGAGCUUGACUGCGACACCGACGGGUGGAGCAGGUACGAAAGUAGGGCUUAGUGAUCCGGUGGUAUUAAGUGGGAAUGCCAUCGCUCAACGGAUAAAAGCUACCCUGGGAUAACAGGCUUAUCACUCCCAAGAGUUCACAUCGACGGAGUGGUUUGGCACCUCGAUGUCGGCUCAUCGCAUCCUGGGGCUGUAGUAGGUCCCAAGGGUUGGGCUGUUCGCCCAUUAAAGCGGUACGCGAGCUGGGUUCAGAACGUCGUGAGACAGUUCGGUCCCUAUCCGGCGUGGGCGUAGGAUAUCUGAGAGGAGCUGUCCUUAGUACGAGAGGACCGGGAUGGACGGGCCGCUGGUGCAUCGGUUAGACUGCCAAGUCUACGGCCGAGUAGCCAAGCCCGGAAGGGAUAAACGCUGAAGGCAUCUAAGCGUGAAGCCCCCCUUAAGAUGAGAUAUCCCAUUCGAAAGAAGUAAACCCCCUUGAAGACGACGAGGUAGAUAGGGCAGAGGUGGAAGUGCAGCAAUGCAUGGAGCUGACUGUUACUAAUCGGGUGAGGGCUUGACCG